Molecule: RNA transcript, 3537 nt
Organism: Glycine soja
Lineage: Eukaryota; Viridiplantae; Streptophyta; Magnoliopsida; Fabales; Fabaceae
Gene name: coatomer subunit beta'-2-like
Exons: 27
Source: RefSeq, a predicted model, not a curated record
UACACCGAGCUCUCUUACAAAAACAAAAAAACACAUUUCUCUCUCUCUCUCUCACUGAGCUCGAUCUCUUGGGCUCGUCGAAUUCGAAAUCUGAUCUCCGACGAUUGAUCCCGGUAGAGGCUAGUACACUCUCCAAUCUGCAAAAAUGCCUCUCAGACUCGAAAUCAAGCGCAAGCUUGCGCAAAGAUCAGAGAGAGUGAAAUGUGUGGAUCUACAUCCAACAGAGCCAUGGAUUCUGGCUAGUUUAUACUCUGGAACUGUCUGUAUCUGGAACUACCAGUCUCAGACCAUGGCAAAAUCUUUUGAGGUUACCGAGUUACCAGUUAGAUCGGCCAAGUUUAUUGCACGCAAACAGUGGGUUGUUGCUGGAGCAGAUGAUAUGUUUAUCCGUGUAUAUAAUUACAACACAAUGGAUAAAGUCAAAGUAUUUGAAGCACAUACUGAUUACAUUAGGUGUGUGGCAGUUCAUCCUACCCUUCCUUAUGUGCUUUCAUCAUCUGAUGAUAUGCUCAUAAAGCUUUGGGAUUGGGAAAAAGGCUGGAUCUGUACCCAGAUAUUUGAAGGUCAUUCUCAUUAUGUCAUGCAAGUAACAUUUAAUCCCAAAGACACAAACACCUUUGCAAGUGCAUCUCUUGAUCGGACAAUAAAGAUUUGGAAUCUUGGCUCUCCUGACCCUAAUUUUACUUUGGAUGCUCAUCAGAAAGGAGUGAAUUGUGUUGAUUAUUUUACAGGUGGUGACAAACCAUAUCUAAUCACUGGUUCUGAUGAUCACACUGCUAAGGUAUGGGAUUAUCAGACCAAAAGUUGUGUCCAGACCCUAGAAGGUCACACACACAAUGUAUCUGCUGUAUGCUUUCAUCCUGAACUUCCUAUAAUCAUUACUGGUUCUGAGGAUGGCACAGUACGCAUAUGGCACUCCACAACUUAUAGGCUUGAGAACACAUUAAACUAUGGUCUUGAAAGAGUCUGGGCUAUUGGAUACUUGAAGAGUUCUCGUCGGGUUGUGAUUGGCUAUGAUGAAGGAACAAUUAUGGUCAAACUUGGUCGAGAAGUACCUGUGGCUAGCAUGGACAACAGUGGGAAAAUUAUUUGGUCUAAGCAUAAUGAAAUUCAGACUGUCAAUAUAAAAAGUGUAGGAGCAGAUGUAGAGGUUGCUGACGGAGAAAGGUUACCUUUAGCUGUUAAGGAGUUGGGCACCUGUGAUCUCUACCCCCAAAAUUUAAAGCACAAUCCAAAUGGGAGGUUUGUUGUUGUAUGUGGAGAUGGUGAGUACAUUAUAUACACUGCAUUGGCAUGGAGAAAUAGGUCAUUUGGUUCAGCACUGGAAUUUGUUUGGUCUUCUGAGGGAGAAUAUGCUGUCAGAGAAAGUACAUCAAAGAUUAAAAUUUUCAGCAAAAAUUUCCAGGAAAAGAGGAGUGUCCGACCAACAUUUUCAGCUGAAAGAAUAUUCGGUGGCACUUUACUGGCGAUGUGCUCCAACGAUUUCAUCUGCUUUUAUGACUGGGCUGAAUGCAGGUUGAUCUAUCGCAUUGAUGUCAAUGUGAAAAACCUCUACUGGGCUGACAGUGGUGAUCUAGUAACAAUUGCUAGUGAUACAUCAUUCUACAUUCUGAAGUACAAUCGUGAUGUUGUUGUAUCACAUUUAGAUAGUGGAAGACCUGUAGAUGAUGAAGGUGUUGAAGAUGCUUUUGAGCUCUUACAUGAAAUGAAUGAACGUGUCAGGACAGGCAUCUGGGUUGGGGAUUGCUUUAUCUACAACAAUACCUCUUGGAGACUUAAUUACUGUGUUGGUGGUGAGGUAACUACGAUGUUUCAUUUGGACCGCCCUAUGUACUUGUUGGGAUAUCUUGCAAACCAAAGUCGUGUUUAUUUGAUUGACAAAGAGUUUAAUGUUAUGGGAUACACACUGCUUUUAAGCUUGAUUGAGUACAAGACACUUGUGAUGCGUGGUGAUUUGGAAAGGGCCAAUGAUAUUCUGCCAUCAAUCCCCAAAGAGCAUCAUAACAGUGUGGCUCAUUUCCUUGAAUCACGAGGGAUGAUAGAAGAUGCUCUUGAAGUAGCUACUGACCCUGAGUACAGAUUUGAUCUAUCAAUACAGCUUGGAAAACUAGAUGUUGCAAAGAGUAUUGCAAUAGAAUUACAGAGCGAGCCUAAAUGGAAGCAGUUGGGAGAAUUAACUAUGUCUACUGGAAAGUUAGAAAUGGCUGAGGAAUGUUUGAAGUAUGCAAUGGAUUUGAGUGGCUUGUUACUGCUAUAUUCUUCUUUAGGAGAUGCUGAAGGAAUAUCAAAACUUGCAAUCCUUGCUAAGGAGCAAGGGAAAAACAAUGUUGCAUUCCUUUGCUUAUUUAUGUUGGGUAAAUUAGAAGACUGCCUUCAACUGUUGGUAGAAAGCAAUCGAAUUCCGGAGGCAGCUUUAAUGGCUCGAUCUUAUCUCCCAAGUAAGGUCUCAGAGAUAGUGGCAAUUUGGAGAAAAGACCUCAAUAAGGUUAAUCCAAAAGCUGCUGAAUCAUUGGCUGAUCCUGAAGAAUAUCCAAAUUUGUUUGAAGAUUGGCAGGUUGCACUAGCUGUCGAAUCUAAAGCUGUGGAAACAAGGAAUGUGUACCCUCCUGCGGAGCAGUACGUCAACCAUGCUGACAAAUCACAAAUUACCCUUGUUGAAGCCUUUAGAAACAUGCAGAUUGAGGAAGGAGAGGAGCAUCUGGAGAAUGGGGACUCUACUCAUGAGUUGACAGAACAAAGUGGAGAAGAGCACUACACAGAGGAUCAGGAGGAACAGAAUGGAGAGGAAGGAAGCCAAGAGGAGGCAGUUGUAGUGGAUGCAGAUUCUACAGAUGGUGCAGUACUCGUUAAUGGUAACGAGGCUGACGAAGAGUGGGGUACGAAUAAUGAAGGAGCCCCGUCAGCCUAAAAGCAAUUGGUUGGGGUGGUGUGAAAAUCGAAAUUUUGUCUCUGUGCUUGCACCACAUCACUAGGUUCCAUCAAGACAGUCUAUUCCAGCUUCUGGGAUAUUUUAUGAGGUUUAUCAAUCGAUUAACAGUUUUUGGUUAUUAUUAUGAUCUUAUUACCACCCGGAUAGACUAUUUUUGGUUUGAAAAAGCAUUCCUUCAUUCAAUUUGGAUGCUCACAUAGACGAGUAGUGUUGCAAAAAGAAGACAUGCUCGUGUUUAUGUGCAUCCGCAGGUCUUCUCAAGGUUACAUGAAGAGAUUUUUUGGACUGGUUGUUUGUUUCCUGGUGUUGUGGAUUUGUAGUGCCCUGAAUUUUGUCAUUUUGCUCGUUGUAUGAACAAUAUUCCUUAGGGUCAGUUACAAUUUACUAGAGUUUAUAUAUAGCACAUUCUUUUGAGGCUUUUACCUCAAUAUACUCGUGCCAUUGUGAAUGUAGAAAAGCGGAACUAGAGACGGGUUGCCCGUUUAAACUUUAGAUAAGUUUUUUAAAAAAAUAUUUUUUCUUGACCAUUAUUUUAAUUUUUAUAUUUUCCUGGAUUGUAAACAUGGAUGGUUAAUAGAGAAAAUAAUGAUUCUUCCCAAGGUUGCUUC